GAUGAACGCUGGCGGCGUGCCUAAUACAUGCAAGUCGAACGAAACUUCUUUAUCACCGAGUGCUUGCACUCACCGAUAAAGAGUUGAGUGGCGAACGGGUGAGUAACACGUGGGCAACCUGCCCAAAAGAGGGGGAUAACACUUGGAAACAGGUGCUAAUACCGCAUAACCAUAGUUACCGCAUGGUAACUAUGUAAAAGGUGGCUAUACUACCGCUUUUGGAUGGGCCCGCGGCGCAUUAGCUAGUUGUUAGGGUAAAGGCUUACCAAGGCAAUGAUGCGUAGCCGAAUUGAGAGGUUGAUCGGCCACAUUGGGACUGAGACACGGCCCAAACUCCUACGGGAGGCAGCAGUAGGGAAUCUUCCACAAUGGGCGAAAGCCUGAUGGAGCAACGCCGCGUGGGUGAAGAAGGUCUUCGGAUCGUAAAACCCUGUUGUUAGAGAAGAAAGUGCGUGAGAGUAACUGUUCACGUUUCGACGGUAUCUAACCAGAAAGCCACGGCUAACUACGUG
This 512-nucleotide ribosomal RNA is filed under the name uncultured bacterium. RNAcentral describes it as "partial 16S ribosomal RNA". It matches the Rfam family "Bacterial small subunit ribosomal RNA", at positions 28 to 507 of the family's 1533-position model. The record is from RNAcentral.